GACGAACGCUGGUUGCGUGCUUAACACAUGCAAGUCGAACGGAAAGGCCCUGCUUUUGUGGGGUGCUCGAGUGGCGAACGGGUGAGUAACACGUGAGUAACCUGCCCUUGACUUUGGGAUAACUUCAGGAAACUGGGGCUAAUACCGGAUAGGAGCUCCUGCUGCAUGGUGGGGGUUGGAAAGUUUCGGCGGUUGGGGAUGGACUCGCGGCUUAUCAGCUUGUUGGUGGGGUAGUGGCUUACCAAGGCUUUGACGGGUAGCCGGCCUGAGAGGGUGACCGGCCACAUUGGGACUGAGAUACGGCCCAGACUCCUACGGGAGGCAGCAGUGGGGAAUAUUGCACAAUGGGCGGAAGCCUGAUGCAGCAACGCCGCGUGCGGGAUGACGGCCUUCGGGUUGUAAACCGCUUUCGCCUGUGACGAAGCGUGAGUGACGGUAAUGGGUAAAGAAGCACCGGCUAACUACGUGCCAGCAGCCGCGGUGAUACGUAGGGUGCGAGCGUUGUCCGGAUUUAUUGGGCGUAAAGGGCUCGUAGGUGGUUGAUCGCGUCGGAAGUGUAAUCUUGGGGCUUAACCCUGAGCGUGCUUUCGAUACGGGUUGACUUGAGGAAGGUAGGGGAGAAUGGAAUUCCUGGUGGAGCGGUGGAAUGCGCAGAUAUCAGGAGGAACACCAGUGGCGAAGGCGGUUCUCUGGGCCUUUCCUGACGCUGAGGAGCGAAAGCGUGGGGAGCGAACAGGCUUAGAUACCCUGGUAGUCCACGCUGUAAACGGUGGGUACUAGGUGUGGGGUCCACUCCACGGGUUCCGUGCCGUAGCUAACGCUUUAAGUACCCCGCCUGGGGAGUACGGCCGCAAGGCUAAAACUCAAAGGAAUUGACGGGGCCCCGCACAAGCGGCGGAGCAUGCGGAUUAAUUCGAUGCAACGCGUAGAACUUUACCUGGGUUUGACAUGGAUCGGGAGUGCUCAGAGAUGGGUGUGCCUCUUUUGGGGUCGGUUCACAGGUGGUGCAUGCCUGUCGUCAGCUCGUGUCGUGAGAUGUUGGGUUAAGUCCCGCAACGAGCGCAACCCUUGUUCACUGUUGCCAGCACGUUAUGGUGGGGACUCAGUGGAGACCGCCGGGGUCAACUCGGAGGAAGGUGGGGAUGACGUCAAGUCAUCAUGCCCCUUAUGUCCAGGGCUUCACGCAUGCUACAAUGGCUGGUACAGAGAGUGGCGAGCCUGUGAGGGUGAGCGAAUCUCGGAAAGCCGGUCUCAGUUCGGAUUGGGGUCUGCAACUCGACCUCAUGAAGUCGGAGUCGCUAGUAAUCGCAGAUCAGCAACGCUGCGGUGAAUACGUUCCCGGGGCU
Molecule: ribosomal RNA, 1346 nt
Filed under: uncultured bacterium
Lineage: Bacteria
Description: partial 16S ribosomal RNA
Rfam family: Bacterial small subunit ribosomal RNA
Source: RNAcentral